Molecule: transfer RNA, 91 nt
Filed under: Acetivibrio alkalicellulosi
Lineage: Bacteria; Bacillati; Bacillota; Clostridia; Acetivibrionales; Acetivibrionaceae
Description: Hungateiclostridium alkalicellulosi tRNA-Ser
Rfam family: tRNA
About the family: Transfer RNA (tRNA) molecules are approximately 80 nucleotides in length. Their secondary structure includes four short double-helical elements and three loops (D, anti-codon, and T loops).
Source: RNAcentral
GGAGAGAUGGCUGAGCUGGUCUAAGGCGCACGACUGGAAAUCGUGUGACGUGUUAAAGCGUCCGAGGGUUCGAAUCCCUCUCUCUCCGCCA